RNAcentral lists this ribosomal RNA (207 nucleotides) under uncultured bacterium. RNAcentral describes it as "partial 16S ribosomal RNA". It matches the Rfam family "Bacterial small subunit ribosomal RNA", at positions 568 to 774 of the family's 1533-position model. The record is from RNAcentral.
CAUGUAGGCGGUCGGUCAAGUCUGAUGUGAAAGCCCGGGGCUUAACCUCGGAAGGGCGUUGGAAACUGGUCGACUUGAGUUCGGGAGAGGGAAGCGGAAUUCCGGGUGUAGAGGUGAAAUUCGUAGAUAUCCGGAGGAACACCGGUGGCGAAGGCGGCUUCCUGGACCGAAACUGACGCUGAGAUGCGAAAGCGUGGGGAGCAAACA